This 83-nucleotide transfer RNA is filed under the name Ameiurus melas (black bullhead). It matches the Rfam family "tRNA". Rfam says of the family: Transfer RNA (tRNA) molecules are approximately 80 nucleotides in length. Their secondary structure includes four short double-helical elements and three loops (D, anti-codon, and T loops). Further hydrogen bonds mediate the characteristic L-shaped molecular structure. tRNAs have two regions of fundamental functional importance: the anti-codon, which is responsible for specific mRNA codon recognition, and the 3' end, to which the tRNAs corresponding amino acid is attached (by aminoacyl-tRNA synthetases). tRNAs cope with the degeneracy of the genetic code in two manners: having more than one tRNA (with a specific anti-codon) for a particular amino acid; and 'wobble' base-pairing, i.e. permitting non-standard base-pairing at the 3rd anti-codon position. Lineage: Eukaryota; Metazoa; Chordata; Actinopteri; Siluriformes; Ictaluridae. The record is from Rfam by way of RNAcentral.
GUCCGGAUGGCCGAGCGGUCUAAGGCGCUGCGUUUAGGUCGCAGUCUCCUCUGGAGGCGUGGGUUCAAAUCCCACUUCUGACA